This 63-nucleotide transfer RNA is filed under the name Trioza frangulae. RNAcentral's name for it is "tRNA-Val". The record is from RNAcentral. Lineage: Eukaryota; Metazoa; Arthropoda; Insecta; Hemiptera; Triozidae.
GAGUAAAUAGCUAAUAUAUAAGUUUAUUAUUUACAUUAAUAGGAUACUGAGAGGUUUUACUUU